CCUACGGGGGGCAGCAGUGAGGAAUAUUGGUCAAUGGACGAGAGUCUGAACCAGCCAAGUAGCGUGAAGGAUGACUGCCCUAUGGGUUGUAAACUUCUUUUAUAUGGGAAUAAAAUGUUCCACGUGUGGGAUUUUGUAUGUACCAUAUGAAUAAGGAUCGGCUAACUCCGUGCCAGCAGCCGCGGUAAUACGGAGGAUCCGAGCGUUAUCCGGAUUUAUUGGGUUUAAAGGGAGCGUAGGUGGAUUGUUAAGUCAGUUGUGAAAGUUUGCGGCUCAACCGUAAAAUUGCAGUUGAAACUGGCAGUCUUGAGUACAGUAGAGGUGGGCGGAAUUCGUGGUGUAGCGGUGGAAUGCUUAGAUAUCACGAAGAACUCCGAUUGCGAAGGCAGCUCACUGGACUGCAACUGACACUGAGGCUCGAAAGUGUGGGUAUCAAACAGGAUUAGAUACCCCUAGUAGUC
Molecule: ribosomal RNA, 461 nt
Filed under: uncultured bacterium
Lineage: Bacteria
Description: partial 16S ribosomal RNA
Rfam family: Bacterial small subunit ribosomal RNA
Source: RNAcentral